This 208-nucleotide long non-coding RNA is filed under the name Nicotiana benthamiana. RNAcentral describes it as "long non-coding RNA (NBEN_LNC000250)". The record is from RNAcentral. Lineage: Eukaryota; Viridiplantae; Streptophyta; Magnoliopsida; Solanales; Solanaceae.
CUAUUUCCCUUGGUGAGGAGCAGCCCGUCCUCUAGCCAAAACUGGCGUGUCUUCCCUUGACUUGCCAAUUCCAACAAAUUUUUGGCUUGUGGGUCAUGUUCCAGCCCCUCCUUGAUGCGAUCUACUAUAGGGAAAUUUGGGCUUUUGAUGGAGGCGAGUUCGGCCUUUCUGCUCAGUGCGUCGGCCACAACAUUUCCCUUGCCCGGCU